CACUAUGUGUGUGCGUUUGUGUGUCUGCCCACAAAAGGGUCAUAAAAGCAGGAAGCUUACUACACAAGAAAACAGGACCUUCAGAUAGGAUGUCCCUAUAAUAAAACACUUCAGCCUCCCCCACCAACAAACUGGUUGGAGAGGUGGUCAGAGACAAAGGAAUGUCUUUGAUCCUGCUGCUUAAACUAAGACUUACAAAUUUAAGUAACAGUUCACACAGGCAGGAGAAGCAGGUGUGUAAAAUUGAUGGUUGAGUGUUUUUUUGGAAGUCUAUGGUUAAAAAAUGGUUAAAAAAACAAAGAAACCUAACAUAUUUAUUCUGGGGGGUUUUUUUCAGUUAAUAAUAUUAGCACUAAAAACACUAAUGGUGCUGAUGUCACUACUGUCAUCAUUGCUGUCAUCUUUCCUGUCAUCAUUGCUGUCAUCACUGCUGCCAUUGCAUGGUACAUCUGGAAACGUUGGCAAAACCGAAGACAAACUGGAGAGCAAAAUGAUCAUCCAAACAAUGAGCAAGUGGAACAGCAACAAGACAUUCCAUUGAGAGAAGAGCAAGAAGAGCCAAACCCUACAACUUGUCCAACAGCUUGGUUUCAUAGCAGAACAUAAAUUAAUCUCAAAUAAACUGUGUUGGUUUGUGGUCAUGGACAUGAAUUUUUUCUUUUUCUGAAGUAAAAAACUAUAAGGAAACUGUUAGUUAGAGCCUUGUUGUUUGCUUUAUACAUGUGUGCUGAUAUGUAUUUUUCCUCUGCCAUAAAGAGUGCAACAUAUGUUGAACUUUGAACUGAUAAUAUUUGGUACAUAAGAAGAUGUUGUGCUUGUGAUAACUGCUACAUAAUUCUCUUUGUUGUCUCUCUGUAUAAACCUUCUGUUAUCACGUUAUUUCACAAAUUUCUAAGAAAAUGAUGAAGUGUUGACAUCAGAUUCAAACCAUCAAAGUUGAAGUUUGAAAGGACAUGUUUGUAAACUGUUCCUUGGUAUUACUAGUUUUAAACCUGGUGCUAGGGGUGGGCGGUAUAAACAGUAUACUGUAGGAACAAUAUAAAUUUGGCCAACGGUAGAGAUUUUGACUAUACCGCUCUACUGCAAUAGCGCAUGUUGAUGGUGUCAUCAAGCUGCGCCUGUUUUGGUCGAAAGCGCUGCAGCGGCUGCAAACAACAUAAUCUGCAAAUUAUGCCGGGCGACAGUAAUAGCAACGAGACAAAGCACUUUUGGAAUAUGGGCAAAGCCAAAAACUGCGCUUCCUCCACUUCCCUACCAUUGAUUCAUUAGUGUUGAAUUCUCUCGCAGCUGCUCUAUUCCCAUGUUGUUGCAGUAUAUUAAUGACUAACCUCAUAUUGUGGAUGGAUUAUCUCAGUUGUUCUCCUAACUGAAGUUUGGUUUGUUUACAGCAUCCUGCCAUGCAAUUGCAUUUGUCCCUAACCACCAGAAAC
This 1430-nucleotide long non-coding RNA is filed under the name Oreochromis niloticus (Nile tilapia). Its description in RNAcentral is "lncRNA (ENSONIG00000029474.1)". Lineage: Eukaryota; Metazoa; Chordata; Actinopteri; Cichliformes; Cichlidae. The record is from RNAcentral.